RNAcentral lists this ribosomal RNA (695 nucleotides) under uncultured Gilliamella sp. RNAcentral's name for it is "bacterial SSU rRNA". It matches the Rfam family "Bacterial small subunit ribosomal RNA", at positions 662 to 1357 of the family's 1533-position model. Lineage: Bacteria; Pseudomonadati; Pseudomonadota; Gammaproteobacteria; Orbales; Orbaceae. The record is from RNAcentral.
UAGAAUUCCACGUGUAGCGGUGAAAUGCGUAGAGAUGUGGAGGAAUACCGGUGGCGAAGGCGGCCUUCUGGACAGAUACUGACGCUGAGAUGCGAAAGCGUGGGGAGCAAACAGGAUUAGAUACCCUGGUAGUCCACGCUGUGAACGAUGUCGAUUUGGAGUUUGUUGCCUAGAGUGAUGGGCUCCGAAGCUAACGCGAUAAAUCGACCGCCUGGGGAGUACGGCCGCAAGGUUAAAACUCAAAUGAAUUGACGGGGGCCCGCACAAGCGGUGGAGCAUGUGGUUUAAUUCGAUGCAACGCGAAGAACCUUACCUGGUCUUGACAUCCACAGAAUCUUGCAGAGAUGCGAGGGUGCCUUCGGGAACUGUGAGACAGGUGCUGCAUGGCUGUCGUCAGCUCGUGUUGUGAAAUGUUGGGUUAAGUCCCGCAACGAGCGCAACCCUUAUCCUUUGUUGCCAUUGGUUCGGCCGGGAACUCAAAGGAGACUGCCGUUGAUAAAGCGGAGGAAGGUGGGGACGACGUCAAGUCAUCAUGGCCCUUACGACCAGGGCUACACACGUGCUACAAUGGCGUAUACAAAGGGAGGCGACCUCGCGAGAGCAAGCGGACCUCAUAAAGUACGUCUAAGUCCGGAUUGGAGUCUGCAACUCGACUCCAUGAAGUCGGAAUCGCUAGUAAUCGUGAAUCAGAAUGU